UGGGGAAUUUUGGACAAUGGGCGAAAGCCUGAUCCAGCAAUGCCGCAGUCGUGUGAUGAAGGCAGCUUCGGGUUGUAAAGCACUUUUGUCCGGAAAGAAAUCCUUGGCUCUAAUACAGUCGGGGGAUGACGGUACCGGAAGAAUAAGCACCGGCUAACUACGUGCCAGCAGCCGCGGUAAUACGUAGGGUGCAAGCGUUAAUCGGAAUUACUGGGCGUAAAGCGUGCGCAGGCGGUUUGCUAAGACCGAUGUGAAAUCCCCGGGCUCAACCUGGGAACUGCAUUGGUGACUGGCAGGCUAGAGUAUGGCAGAGGGGGGUAGAAUUCCACGUGUAGCAGUGAAAUGCGUAGAGAUGUGGAGGAAUACCGAUGGCGAAGGCAGCCCCUGGGCCAAUACUGACGCUCAUGCACGAAAGCGUGGGGAGCAAACAGGAUUAGAUACCCUGGUAGUCCACGCCCUAAACGAUGUCAACUAGUUGUUGGGGAUUCAUUUCCUUAGUAACGUAGCUAACGCGUGAAGUUGACCGCCUGGGGAGUACGGUCGCAAGAUUAAAACUCAAAGGAAUUGACGGGGUCAUAGCUGUUUCCU
Molecule: ribosomal RNA, 588 nt
Filed under: uncultured bacterium
Lineage: Bacteria
Description: partial 16S ribosomal RNA
Rfam family: Bacterial small subunit ribosomal RNA
Source: RNAcentral